This 842-nucleotide ribosomal RNA is filed under the name uncultured Verrucomicrobiota bacterium. RNAcentral's name for it is "bacterial SSU rRNA". It matches the Rfam family "Bacterial small subunit ribosomal RNA", at positions 68 to 902 of the family's 1533-position model. The record is from RNAcentral. Lineage: Bacteria; Pseudomonadati; Verrucomicrobiota.
ACAUUUAGGUAGCAAUAUUUGAAUGUUGGAGUGGCGCAAGGGUGCUUAACACGUGGAUCAUCUGCCGUGAAGUCUGGGAUAACUUGCUGAAAGGCGAGCUAAUACCGGAUGUGAAAGAAAUUUCAAAGUUGGGGACCGCAAGGCCUGACGCUUUACGAUGAGUCCGCGGCCUAUCAGCUAGUUGGCGGGGUAACGGCCCACCAAGGCUAAGACGGGUAGCUGGUCUGAGAGGACGACCAGCCACACUGGAACUGAGACACGGUCCAGACACCUACGGGUGGCAGCAGUCGAGAAUUUUUCUCAAUGGGCGAAAGCCUGAAGGAGCGACGCCGCGUGGGGGAUGAAUGGCUUCGGCCCGUAAACCCCUGUCAUUUGUGAACAAAUUGACUCACUUAACACGCGUGUCAUUGAUUGUAACGGAAGAGGAAGGGACGGCUAACUCUGUGCCAGCAGCCGCGGUAAUACAGAGGUCCCAAGCGUUGUUCGGAUUCACUGGGCGUAAAGGGUGCGUAGGCGGUGAGGUAAGUCUGACGUGAAAUCUCCGGGCCUAACCCGGAAACUGCGUUGGAUACUAUCUCGCUAGAGGAAUGGAGGGGAGACUGGAAUACUUGGUGUAGCAGUGAAAUGCGUAGAUAUCAAGUGGAACACCAGUGGCGAAGGCGAGUCUCUGGACAUUUCCUGACGCUGAGGCACGAAAGCCAGGGGAGCAAACGGGAUUAGAUACCCCGGUAGUCCUGGCCCUAAACGGUGCGCGUUUGCUGUGAGUGGAAUCGACCCCGCUCGUGGCGAAGUUAACACGUUAAACGCGCCGCCUGGGAAGUACGGCCGCAAGGUUAAAACUC